This 253-nucleotide ribosomal RNA is filed under the name uncultured bacterium. Its description in RNAcentral is "partial 16S ribosomal RNA". It matches the Rfam family "Bacterial small subunit ribosomal RNA", at positions 524 to 776 of the family's 1533-position model. The record is from RNAcentral.
UACGUAGGUGGCAAGCGUUGUCCGGAUUUAUUGGGCGUAAAGCGCGCGCAGGCGGUUCGAAAAGUCCAUGGUGAAAGCGCCUGGCUCAACUGGGCGAGUGCCGUGGGGACUGUCGAGCUGAAGGGAAGCAGAGGCGAGUGGAAUUCCGGGUGUAGUGGUGAAAUGCGUAGAUAUGCGGAGGAACACCGAUGGCGAAGGCAAUCCCCUGGGCCUGCACUGACGCUGAGGAGCGAAAGCAUGGGGAGCGAACAGG